GCCAGUGUGGCAUAGUGGUUUGAGUACUGGACUACAACUCUGGAGAUCAGGGUUAGAUUCCCCGCUUAGCCA
RNAcentral lists this transfer RNA (72 nucleotides) under Phrynosoma platyrhinos (Desert horned lizard). RNAcentral describes it as "tRNA-OTHER". It matches the Rfam family "tRNA". From Rfam's summary of the family: Transfer RNA (tRNA) molecules are approximately 80 nucleotides in length. Their secondary structure includes four short double-helical elements and three loops (D, anti-codon, and T loops). The record is from RNAcentral. Lineage: Eukaryota; Metazoa; Chordata; Lepidosauria; Squamata; Phrynosomatidae.